UACGUAGGGUCCGAGCGUUAAUCGGAAUUACUGGGCGUAAAGCGUGCGCAGGCGGUUUUGUAAGUCUGACGUGAAAUCCCCGGGCUUAACCUGGGAAUUGCGUUGGAGACUGCAAGGCUGGAGUCUGGCAGAGGGGGGUAGAAUUCCACGUGUAGCAGUGAAAUGCGUAGAGAUGUGGAGGAACACCGAUGGCGAAGGCAGCCCCCUGGGUCAAGACUGACGCUCAUGCACGAAAGCGUGGGGAGCAAACAGG
This 253-nucleotide ribosomal RNA is filed under the name uncultured bacterium. RNAcentral describes it as "partial 16S ribosomal RNA". It matches the Rfam family "Bacterial small subunit ribosomal RNA", at positions 524 to 776 of the family's 1533-position model. The record is from RNAcentral.